Cuculus canorus (common cuckoo) is the source of this 1325-nucleotide long non-coding RNA. RefSeq lists it as uncharacterized. The record is from RefSeq and is a predicted model, not a curated record. The transcript has 3 exons. NCBI's taxonomy places the organism in Eukaryota, Metazoa, Chordata, Aves, Cuculiformes, Cuculidae.
UUCACACACUUCCUAUUUUAAUGCUAUUUGAAAAUGUUUCUUUUUUCAAAAUUAGACCUAAAACUAAUCUUUUCCCUCAAAUUGUUAUUUCUUUAUUAUUCAGAUACAAAUGCCAAAUUUUAUAAUACAAAGAUACUUUUAGCAUUUUCUUACUAAUUAAGAGUUAAUAUGAUGGGGAAAAGCAAAAAAAUUACUUUGUAUUAUAAAUCUAUUGGAAAAAAAAGUUAAAACACAAGAAAAAUGCACAUUCUGAUUUAGGUGUCGUCUUUGCUUUAUGUGGCAAGAUUUUUGUUUCAGUGGGGGUUACAGGUGUAGCAAGACACUAAAAUCUACCUUCAUGUUGGGCAGAGCUGGUUCCAGCUGUCUUGAGGAUGGACCCACUGUGGCCUAAGCUGAGUCCAACAUUAUUAGCACCUCUGUGAAUGUAUAUGUAUAUGUAUAUGUAUAUGUAUAUGUGUAUGUGUAUGUGUAUGUGUAUGCGUAUGUGUAUGUGUAUGUGUAUGUAUAUGUAUAUAAGAAAGGGUAAAAAGCACUGCACAACAGCAGCUGGGAGAUGCAAGUGAGAAUUUGUGAUAUAAACAACCCUACAGACACCAGGGUCAGAGAAGAUGGAAGGGUAGGAGUUGCUCCAGGUGUCAGAUCAGAGGUUCCUCUGCAGCCAUGUUAGGGAGAAAAGACCAUGAUGAUGCAGGGUUCUCCCUGCCCAUGGAAGUCUGCAGUGGAGCAGGUAUCUAUGCUGCUGCCCAUGGAGGACCCCACACCAGAACAGGCUGUUCCUGAAGGAUUGUACUCUUGGAAAGGACUCAUGCUGGAGCGGAAGGAUGGGAUUAUUUGUUAUAAAUUACUAGCCUAUUAUAUAUUUGAAUAUCCUGUAUAGUUUUGUGAUUUUAGAACUAAAAUAUAGUAUUAGGUUGAAUAAUAACUUUUAGCUAGCCUGUGCCUGGAUAUUUAUGUCUACAUAACAAGGCUGCAGUUAGAAAUAAUAGGAAAGAAUGUGACUAUAUUUAAUUAAGCCAGAAUACAAGGACUAGCCCAAUGAUAAGAGGCAGAAGAACCAGCUAGGACCAGAUGCAACCUUGAAGAUGUGCCCAAGCUGUCUAAGAGCAUGCACAAGAAGGAGACUUGAAAAGUUCACCAUGAAGAAGACUGUGAGCCUUCCUCCAGAAGCCUCCAGCCCAAGACCACCAGAAGAGAAAUGAAAAAAAAUAAGCUGAUUAUUUAAGAAGGUUGAUUUCCUACAGUAUCUAAGAGGGGUUACAGGAAGGAUCUGGGGAACUACAGGCCUGUCAGUCUGACCUCAGUGCCGGGGAAAGUAAUGGAACAGG